This 253-nucleotide ribosomal RNA is filed under the name uncultured bacterium. RNAcentral's name for it is "partial 16S ribosomal RNA". It matches the Rfam family "Bacterial small subunit ribosomal RNA", at positions 524 to 776 of the family's 1533-position model. The record is from RNAcentral.
UACGAAGGGUGCAAGCGUUAAUCGGAAUUACUGGGCGUAAAGCGUGCGCAGGCGGUGGCUCAAGCCAGGCGUGAAAUCCCCGGGCUUAACCUGGGAAUGGCGUUUGGGACUGGGUCGCUAGAGUGUGGCAGAGGGAGGUGGAAUUCCACGUGUAGCAGUGAAAUGCGUAGAGAUGUGGAGGAACACCGAUGGCGAAGGCGGCCUUCUGGACAGUGACUGACGCUGAGACGCGAAAGCGUGGGGAGCGAACAGG